RNAcentral lists this ribosomal RNA (361 nucleotides) under uncultured bacterium. RNAcentral's name for it is "bacterial SSU rRNA". It matches the Rfam family "Bacterial small subunit ribosomal RNA", at positions 152 to 507 of the family's 1533-position model. The record is from RNAcentral.
CGAAAGUUACGCUAAUACCGCAUAUUCUGUGAGCAGGAAAGCAGGGGGACCGCAAGGCCUUGCGCUCUUUGAGCGGCCGAUGUCAGAUUAGCUAGUUGGUGAGGUAAAGGCUUACCAAGGCGACGAUCUGUAGCGGGUCUGAGAGGAUGAUCCGCCACACUGGAACUGAGACACGGUCCAGACUCCUACGGGAGGCAGCAGUGGGGAAUUUUGGACAAUGGGCGCAAGCCUGAUCCAGCCAUGCCGCGUGAGUGAAGAAGGCCUUCGGGUUGUAAAGCUCUUUCGGCCGGGAAGAAAUCGCAUGGGUUAAUACCCUGUGUGGAUGACGGUACCGGAAUAAGAAGCACCGGCUAACUACGUG